Molecule: ribosomal RNA, 263 nt
Filed under: Herbiconiux sp. ISO558_OTU86596
Lineage: Bacteria; Bacillati; Actinomycetota; Actinomycetes; Micrococcales; Microbacteriaceae
Description: partial 16S ribosomal RNA
Rfam family: Bacterial small subunit ribosomal RNA
Source: RNAcentral
ACGAACGCUGGCGGCGUGCUUAACACAUGCAAGUCGAACGGUGAACAGGGAGCUUGCUUCCUGGGAUCAGUGGCGAACGGGUGAGUAACACGUGAGUAACCUGCCCUUGACUCUGGGAUAAGCGUUGGAAACGACGUCUAAUACCGGAUAUGAACCUCAACCGCAUGGUUAGGGGUUGGAAAGAUUUUUUGGUCAAGGAUGGACUCGCGGCCUAUCAGCUUGUUGGUGAGGUAAUGGCUCACCAAGGCGACGACGGGUAGCCG